UUGCCACAUGAACAUCUUCCAGCAUCUUGCGUUCUCAGAUGUGGAUGUUGCCAGGGUUCUCACUCCAGAUGCUUUUGUGUGUCGAACCAUCUGCACCUAUCACCCCAACUGCCUCUUCUUACAUUCUAUACAAAUGUAUGGAAAAUCGAGUCACAAAGAAAUGUUUGUCUUCUUAAAACAUCUGAAAGUGGCACACCAAGUUCCUCUACUCCUCAAGAAAACACCAUAUCUGGAUAUAGCCUUUUAACCUGCAAAAGAACUUUACCUGAACCCUGCCAUUCUAAAAUUUACCCGGGAGUUGACUUUGGAGGAGAAGAAUUGAAUGUGACUUUCGUUAAAGGAGUGGAUGUUUGCCAAGAGACUUGCACAAAGAUGAUUCGCUGUCAGUUUUUCACUUAUUCUUUACUCCCAGAAGACUGUAAGGAAGAGAAAGGUGUAAGUGUUUCUUAAGAUUAUCUAUGGAUGGUUCUCCAACUAGGAUUGUGUAUGGGACACAAGGGAGCUCUGGUUACUCUUUGAGAUUGUGUAACACUGGGGAUAACUCUGUCUGCACAACAAAAACAAGCACACGCAUUGUUGGAGGAACAAACUCUUCUUGGGGAGAGUGGCCCUGGCAGGUGAGCCUGCAGGUGAAGCUGACAGCUCAGAGGCACCUGUGUGGAGGGUCACUCAUAGGACACCAGUGGGUCCUCACUGCUGCCCACUGCUUUGAU
RNAcentral lists this long non-coding RNA (713 nucleotides) under Pan troglodytes (chimpanzee). RNAcentral's name for it is "long non-coding RNA NONPTRT013342". The record is from RNAcentral. Lineage: Eukaryota; Metazoa; Chordata; Mammalia; Primates; Hominidae.